AGAAUGAACGCUGGCGGCGUGCUUUACACAUGCAAGUCGAGCGAGGCGGCCCGCAAGGGUCAGUCGAGCGGCGAACGGGUGAGUAACGCGUGGAUAACCUGCCCUGAGGUGUGGAACAACCAGGGGAAACUCUGGCUAAUACCGCAUGAUACCGAGAGGUCAAAGGGGGCUCGCAAGAGCUCUCGCCACAGGAGGGGUCCGCGUUCGAUUAGCUAGUUGGUAGGGUAAUGGCCUACCAAGGCGACGAUCGAUAGCCGGCCUGAGAGGGUGAUCGGCCACACUGGAACUGAGACACGGUCCAGACUCCUACGGGAGGCAGCAGUGGGGAAUUUGCGCAAUGGGCUAACGCCUGACGCAGCAACGCCGCGUGGAGGAUGAAGGUCCUUGGAUUGUAAACUCCUGUCAGCAGGAAAAAGCAACCUGACCUCAUACGUCAGGAAGUUGAUUGUACUGCAGAGAAGCCCCGCUAACUCUGUGCCAGCAGCCG
Molecule: ribosomal RNA, 487 nt
Filed under: uncultured soil bacterium
Lineage: Bacteria
Description: bacterial SSU rRNA
Rfam family: Bacterial small subunit ribosomal RNA
Source: RNAcentral